This is a long non-coding RNA of Chelonia mydas (Green sea turtle), 770 nucleotides long. RefSeq lists it as uncharacterized. The record is from RefSeq and is a predicted model, not a curated record. NCBI's taxonomy places the organism in Eukaryota, Metazoa, Chordata, Testudines, Cheloniidae. The transcript has 3 exons.
CCCUGGCAUUGGCCCUUACGAGGUGCAUGGGGCCCUGGCUGGGGCCACAUGGGGUGGAGGCAUAGGGGUCUGGCCGGGGCAGUGUGGGGGCAAGGCUUUUGUUUUGGGUUUUUAUUUAGAUUUUUUUUCACCAUCAGUGCUGGUACAUCACCCCCACCCCCAGCCUGCCCCUGCAUUCCUGACCUCAGGAAAGUGAAACUACCCUUGUCCCACUGCCCAGAGGGAGCCAUGGCUGCAGCGAGCCCCGUGGAAAGUCUCCAGGAGGAAGCGACAUGUCCCAUCUGUCUGGAGUAUUUCACAGGCCCUGUCACUCUGGAGUGUGGGCACAAUCUCUGCCGAGCCUGCAUCGCCCAGUGCUGGGAGGGACCUGACACAGCCGCCUCCUGCCCUCCGUGCAGAGAAACUGUGCAACAGAGAAACCUCAGGCCCAACAGGCAGCUGGCGAACAUGGAUCCAAUUUGGAGGGAUUUGGAGAGUGCGAAAAAGGAGGGAGAUGAGAAUAGGGUGUUUAGCAAGAGUGGGAAGAAGGAAUAUCCAGGAACUCCUGGAGUCAGGAUCUGUAACAACAUUGUACCCAGUUGCUCAUGAAGAAUCCAGCGGCUUCCCCACCAGCAUCUCUGCCCAGCUCGCCUUUCCCAUCGCAGCUGCAGCUCCUGGUCUGGCUCCAGAAGGCCACUCCCCAGAUUCCCUCUUGAUCCUGAUCUCAGAUCCACUCUGCCACAAACGAGUCCUGACUGCAGAGCCCAGCCACAGGAAACAGCGGCAGUAUG